RNAcentral lists this transfer RNA (86 nucleotides) under Candidatus Latescibacterota bacterium. RNAcentral's name for it is "tRNA-Leu". It matches the Rfam family "tRNA". From Rfam's summary of the family: Transfer RNA (tRNA) molecules are approximately 80 nucleotides in length. Their secondary structure includes four short double-helical elements and three loops (D, anti-codon, and T loops). Further hydrogen bonds mediate the characteristic L-shaped molecular structure. tRNAs have two regions of fundamental functional importance: the anti-codon, which is responsible for specific mRNA codon recognition, and the 3' end, to which the tRNAs corresponding amino acid is attached (by aminoacyl-tRNA synthetases). tRNAs cope with the degeneracy of the genetic code in two manners: having more than one tRNA (with a specific anti-codon) for a particular amino acid; and 'wobble' base-pairing, i.e. permitting non-standard base-pairing at the 3rd anti-codon position. Lineage: Bacteria; Pseudomonadati; Candidatus Latescibacterota. RNAcentral also lists the same sequence under 1 other name. The record is from RNAcentral.
GGCUGCCUGGUGGAACUGGCAGACACGCUGGCCUUAGGAGCCAGUGCCCUUGGGGCGUCCGAGUUCAAAUCUCGGGGCAGCCACCA